Molecule: transfer RNA, 73 nt
Filed under: Shigella dysenteriae CDC 74-1112
Lineage: Bacteria; Pseudomonadati; Pseudomonadota; Gammaproteobacteria; Enterobacterales; Enterobacteriaceae
Description: tRNA-Trp
Rfam family: tRNA
About the family: Transfer RNA (tRNA) molecules are approximately 80 nucleotides in length. Their secondary structure includes four short double-helical elements and three loops (D, anti-codon, and T loops). Further hydrogen bonds mediate the characteristic L-shaped molecular structure. tRNAs have two regions of fundamental functional importance: the anti-codon, which is responsible for specific mRNA codon recognition, and the 3' end, to which the tRNAs corresponding amino acid is attached (by aminoacyl-tRNA synthetases). tRNAs cope with the degeneracy of the genetic code in two manners: having more than one tRNA (with a specific anti-codon) for a particular amino acid; and 'wobble' base-pairing, i.e. permitting non-standard base-pairing at the 3rd anti-codon position.
Source: RNAcentral
AGGGGCGUAGUUCAAUUGGAAGAGCACCGGUCUCCAAAACCGGGUGUUGGGAGUUCGAGUCUCUCCGCCCCUG